AGAAACAGUCUAACCACAGAGAAGCCUGAACUCAUUAGAUCUCAGACGCUAAAUAAGACUGGUCUUCAUCAGUGCUGGGAUGGAAGACCUGUUGGGAAAAAAACGGGCUGUUGCUU
This 116-nucleotide ribosomal RNA is filed under the name Lepisosteus oculatus (spotted gar). The record is from RNAcentral. Lineage: Eukaryota; Metazoa; Chordata; Actinopteri; Semionotiformes; Lepisosteidae.